Non-coding RNA from Drosophila melanogaster (fruit fly), 425 nucleotides. The record is from Ensembl. NCBI's taxonomy places the organism in Eukaryota, Metazoa, Arthropoda, Insecta, Diptera, Drosophilidae.
AGCUUUUCAUUUGUAUUUCGACUGUGACGUCAAUGAUGAUGACGUCGCCCGUUCGUUUGCUAUCUCACUUUGGCUAAGGCAUCUCGCUUGCACUUGAUGGGGUCAAUGCAGAAGGCAAUGAAACCGCAUGGAAAAUUUGUGAAAAUCGCCGGCCUUCGUUUUAUAAACAAAAGUCAUUAAUUAUAAUACGUUUUUGGCAACUGUAAAUAACUUCACGUGACGCUUGGCCAAAAGCCGGAAAAUUCAUUUGACAGAAAAACGGCGAAAAAAGAAACACAUAAAGCGGGCAAAUAGAUAAAAACGAAAUUAGCGGCAAAAAACUCAUAAAAAAAUGUUCAAAAUUGUCACAGAAAUAUUUACUGUGAAAAUAUACAAAAAAAAAUAAAGAAAUAAACGCACAUGUUAUACGUUACAGUCAAAUAAGU